RNAcentral lists this ribosomal RNA (253 nucleotides) under uncultured bacterium. Its description in RNAcentral is "partial 16S ribosomal RNA". It matches the Rfam family "Bacterial small subunit ribosomal RNA", at positions 524 to 776 of the family's 1533-position model. The record is from RNAcentral.
UACAGAGGUCUCAAGCGUUGUUCGGAUUCAUUGGGCGUAAAGGGUGCGUAGGCGGCGCGGUAAGUCGGGUGUGAAAUCUCGGAGCUUAACUCCGAAACUGCAUUCGAUACUGCCGUGCUUGAGGACUGGAGAGGAGACUGGAAUUUACGGUGUAGCGGUGAAAUGCGUAGAUAUCGUAAGGAAGACCAGUGGCGAAGGCGGGUCUCUGGAACGGUACUGACGCUGAGGCGCGAGAGCGUGGGGAGCAAACAGG